UCCAGACACCUGCCCCUACCUUAG
RNAcentral lists this unclassified non-coding RNA (24 nucleotides) under Mus musculus (house mouse). RNAcentral describes it as "oocyte_clustered_small_RNA12537". The record is from RNAcentral. Lineage: Eukaryota; Metazoa; Chordata; Mammalia; Rodentia; Muridae.